UACGGAGGGAGCUAGCGUUGUUCGGAAUUACUGGGCGUAAAGCGCACGUAGGCGGCUAUUCAAGUCGGGGGUGAAAGCCCGGGGGCUCAACCCCGGAACAGCCCUCGAAACUAGAUAGCUAGAAUCUUGGAGAGGCGAGUGGAAUUCCGAGUGUAGAGGUGAAAUUCGUAGAUAUUCGGAAGAACACCAGUGGCGAAGGCGACUCGCUGGACAAGUAUUGACGCUGAGGUGCGAAAGCGUGGGGAGCAAACAGG
RNAcentral lists this ribosomal RNA (254 nucleotides) under uncultured bacterium. Its description in RNAcentral is "partial 16S ribosomal RNA". It matches the Rfam family "Bacterial small subunit ribosomal RNA", at positions 524 to 776 of the family's 1533-position model. The record is from RNAcentral.